Molecule: ribosomal RNA, 301 nt
Filed under: uncultured bacterium
Lineage: Bacteria
Description: partial 16S ribosomal RNA
Rfam family: Bacterial small subunit ribosomal RNA
Source: RNAcentral
CAGCCGCCGCGGGAAUACGUAGGGUGCGAGCGUUAAUCGGAAUCACUGGGCGUAAAGCGCACGCAGGCGGUCUGUCAAGUCAGAUGUGAAAUCCCCGGGCUUAACCUGGGAACUGCAUUUGAAACUGGCAGGCUAGAGUCUUGUAGAGGGGGGUAGAAUUCCAGGUGUAGCGGUGAAAUGCGUAGAGAUCUGGAGGAAUACCGGUGGCGAAGGCGGCCCCCUGGACAAAGACUGACGCUCAGGUGCGAAAGCGUGGGGAGCAAACAGGAUUAGAUACCCGCGUAGUCCCUGUCUCUUAUAC